RNAcentral lists this long non-coding RNA (1166 nucleotides) under Strigops habroptila (Kakapo). RNAcentral describes it as "lncRNA (ENSSHBG00005000338.1)". The record is from RNAcentral. Lineage: Eukaryota; Metazoa; Chordata; Aves; Psittaciformes; Psittacidae.
UUUUGUUUGAUCUGCUGGGCACCUACUCUCGGUUCUGGCAGUGAAGAGAAUUUAAAGAAUAAUUCUCAGCAGAAGUUAUUAAACCAAUGUCACCUGAGCAGUCCAGUUUUAUUAUUUAUAUACACAAAACUAAAGUAGUACUUAAAUUUACUAGACAAGAUAGAAGAGUUAUUUUCAUAGAGACCCUAACUGGUGAACUUUUAUUUUCCAGGUUUUAUCUUAAAAUGAUUCUAUUUUUAUAAUGAUUCAAAACUGAAAAUUUAUUUUUACAGCCAUCAAUAAAAAGGAGGAAAAAAAAAGACAAAUAAAAAGGAACACAUCUGGGUCUGACUGACUUAGUGUACAUAUUUCAGAACAAAACUUGAAAUGUACUGAAAUCAAGACCGUUGCUUCCAAAUCCUAUGGCCCACGAAACAGCUACUUACACAAGUGGAAACAACACUUGCUGGUGCCAACCAAAACGAAAGGCUGAGGGAAAACAGGAAGUAAUCCACACAGAAAGUGUGUAACUAAUCUUGUGAGGGAUAGCAGCAGGCCUCCUCUGCAGCAAGCUUCAGGAAGGGAGAAGCACAGAUAGUCAUCUUCUACACUGAGAAUGGCCUGUCUGAGUGAGAUUAACCCUUGCCACAGAAAGCUAAGAUAACAUAUCGCUGUUCCAGAGAAAAACAAUGUAAAGUACUGGAUUGAGAUGAGACCCAACUUGAAACAUGAAGCCUCAAAAUAGAGGCUUGCAGUAAAAAUGGUUACAGGCUCUCAACUAAAGAAACGCAGUGAAAAUCCACCGAAAAGAUGGGUCAGACUGGAAUCACUCCCAGAUCCUUCAUACUUAUAAAAGGAAACCACACUGGAGAAGGUGUAUGAGAAAUAAGUUGCCUAAAAUGCUGAACGAGAUGAAAAGGUUUAUUGCUUACAAAUUCUCCUGAACCCACAGCAUAUUCAUAAAGGCCUGGAAUGAAUGAUGCUGCCAUUACCACGCAGUACACACGUUAUUUAAUUUAGGAGAAUAACAUAAUCAAAUCAAAGGAGAAAAUGUAACUGAAACUGCAACUGUCUGCUGACAAUGUGCGACACGUGACCAACACCACAGCUGCUUGUAACCCUUUAUCAUCAUCAGGAGGAUUAAACUACUUCCCUAUUUAUUUAAAUAAAAUUCAAAGUGGCAAGGG